Cucurbita maxima (winter squash) is the source of this 101-nucleotide long non-coding RNA. RefSeq lists it as uncharacterized. The transcript has 3 exons. The record is from RefSeq and is a predicted model, not a curated record. NCBI's taxonomy places the organism in Eukaryota, Viridiplantae, Streptophyta, Magnoliopsida, Cucurbitales, Cucurbitaceae.
UCUCUAUUGGUGUGAGACCUUUUGAGGAAGCUCAAAGGAAAGCCAUGAGAGCUUAUGGUCAAAGUGGACAAUAUCAUACCAUUGUGUAGAGUCGUGUUCAU